CUUUUUAGCCACAGAACGCCGUGGCUAAAAAGUAUACUGAAAUCUGGUAUACUUUUUAGCCACAGAACGCCGUGGCUAAAAAGUAUACAGAAA
Molecule: non-coding RNA, 93 nt
Organism: Paramuricea clavata
Lineage: Eukaryota; Metazoa; Cnidaria; Anthozoa; Malacalcyonacea; Plexauridae
Source: the annotation of a GenBank genome assembly